UACAGAGGGGGCAAGCGUUGUUCGGAAUUACUGGGCGUAAAGCGUGCGCAGGCGGUCUUGCAAGACAGAUGUGAAAUCCCCGGGCUUAACCUGGGAACUGCAUUUGUGACUGCAAGGCUGGAGUGCGGCAGAGGGGGAUGGAAUUCCGCGUGUAGCAGUGAAAUGCGUAGAUAUGCGGAGGAACACCGAUGGCGAAGGCAAUCCCCUGGGCCUGCACUGACGCUCAUGCACGAAAGCGUGGGGAGCAAACAGG
RNAcentral lists this ribosomal RNA (253 nucleotides) under uncultured bacterium. RNAcentral describes it as "partial 16S ribosomal RNA". It matches the Rfam family "Bacterial small subunit ribosomal RNA", at positions 524 to 776 of the family's 1533-position model. The record is from RNAcentral.